RNAcentral lists this ribosomal RNA (396 nucleotides) under uncultured bacterium. Its description in RNAcentral is "partial 16S ribosomal RNA". It matches the Rfam family "Bacterial small subunit ribosomal RNA", at positions 523 to 918 of the family's 1533-position model. The record is from RNAcentral.
AUACGUAGGUGGCAAGCGUUAUCCGGAUUUACUGGGUGUAAAGGGAGCGUAGACGGAAGGCCAAGUCUGAUGUGAAAGCCCGCGGCUCAACUGCGGGACUGCAUUGGAAACUGGUCAUCUGGAGUGCAGGAGGGGUAAGCGGAAUUCCUAGUGUAGCGGUGAAAUGCGUAGAUAUUAGGAGGAACACCGGUGGCGAAGGCGGCUUACUGGACUGUAACUGACGUUGAGGCUCGAAAGCGUGGGGAGCAAACAGGAUUAGAUGCCCUGGUAGUCCACGCUGUAAACGAUGAUUACUAGGUGUUGGGGACCAAAGGUCCUCGGUGCCGCCGCAAACGCAUUAAGUAAUCCACCUGGGGAGUACGUUCGCAAGAAUGAAACUCAAAUGAAUUGACGGGG